Molecule: ribosomal RNA, 995 nt
Filed under: Bacillus sp. (in: firmicutes)
Lineage: Bacteria; Bacillati; Bacillota; Bacilli; Caryophanales; Bacillaceae
Description: bacterial SSU rRNA
Rfam family: Bacterial small subunit ribosomal RNA
Source: RNAcentral
CAUUUGUUUUUUGGGUUUUUUUGAGGCGGGGCUAUACAUGCAAAGUCGAGCGGACAGAUGGGAGCUUGCUCCCUGAUGUUAGCGGCGGACGGGUGAGUAACACGUGGGUAACCUGCCUGUAAGACUGGGAUAACUCCGGGAAACCGGGGCUAAUACCGGAUGCUUGAUUGAACCGCAUGGUUCAAUUAUAAAAGGUGGCUUUUAGCUACCACUUACAGAUGGACCCGCGGCGCAUUAGCUAGUUGGUGAGGUAACGGCUCACCAAGGCAACGAUGCGUAGCCGACCUGAGAGGGUGAUCGGCCACACUGGGACUGAGACACGGCCCAGACUCCUACGGGAGGCAGCAGUAGGGAAUCUUCCGCAAUGGACGAAAGUCUGACGGAGCAACGCCGCGUGAGUGAUGAAGGUUUUCGGAUCGUAAAACUCUGUUGUUAGGGAAGAACAAGUACCGUUCGAAUAGGGCGGUACCUUGACGGUACCUAACCAGAAAGCCACGGCUAACUACGUGCCAGCAGCCGCGGUAAUACGUAUGUGGCAAGCGUUGUCCGGAAUUAUUGGGCGUAAAGCGCGCGCAGGCGGUUUCUUAAGUCUGAUGUGAAAGCCCCCGGCUCAACCGGGGAGGGUCAUUGGAAACUGGGGGAACUUGAGUGCAGAAGAGGAGAGUGGAAUUCCACGUGUAGCGGUGAAAUGCGUAGAGAUGGUGGAGGAACAGCCAGUGGCGAAAGCGACUCUCUGGGUCUGUAACUGACGCUGAGCGCGAAGCGUGGGGGAGCGACAGGAUUAGAUACCCUGCUAGUCCACGCCGUAAACGAUGAGUGCUAGUGUUGAGAGGGCUUUCCGGCCCUUAGUGCUGCAAGCAAACGCAAUAAGCACUUGCAGCCUUGGCGGAGUACGGUCGCAGGACCUGGAACUCAACGGUAAUGGACCGGGGCCGCCACAGCUGUGCGACAUGUGCUUUAAUCGAUCAGCCCAGAUCUUACCAGCUCUGACGAUC